Molecule: ribosomal RNA, 253 nt
Filed under: uncultured bacterium
Lineage: Bacteria
Description: partial 16S ribosomal RNA
Rfam family: Bacterial small subunit ribosomal RNA
Source: RNAcentral
CACGUAGGUGGCAAGCGUUGUCCGGAAUUAUUGGGCGUAAAGCGCGCGCAGGUGGUUCCUUAAGUCUGAUGUGAAAGCCCACGGCUCAACCGUGGAGGGUCAUUGGAAACUGGGGAACUUGAGUGCAGAAGAGGAGAGUGGAAUUCCAAGUGUAGCGGUGAAAUGCGUAGAGAUUUGGAGGAACACCAGUGGCGAAGGCGACUUUCUGGUCUGUAACUGACACUGAGGCGCGAAAGCGUGGGGAGCAAACAGG